GUUUUGGUCAGUAUUGAUUUGGUCUUGUCAAAUUGCUCUUGUUUAUUUUUUGCAGUCAUCUAUCUUGGCUUCAGAUGUUGUUCAUCUGGAGUGACAUUUGCUUACACAUCAAUUAGCAAAGUGACUUAGAUGUAUAUAUUUUUGUAGGUCUGGUUAUUUUUAGAGGGGUCUGGAUGUUGCCAGGUUAAGUUGCAUUUCUACCUCUGCUUUUUGAAUAUCUGUCAGGUAACAACUAUAAAUUUGGGGCUGUAACUUACCACUGAUCAUGAAAUUUGUUUGCAGAUUUACACAGAUGUUCAAAAUGGGCAAGCAAAGAGGUGAGCCACAAUGGCUACCCCUAAUAUCUGUGCUUGAGGUUUGAUAUGUGAGGAUUUGGCAGAUCAACCUCAAAGUUUGGAAAAGCUGUACUCCCUUCUUCAGUGAACAAAACCUGAUGCUGCUUAAUUCAUAAGCAGUGCGGUAUUGCCUGAAAAGCAGUGGGAAGAUCAAACAGCCUUUCAGCCAGCUGCUCAACAUUGGUCACUGCCUUUGGAGAACGAUGAACCCAUCAGCGCAGCUGAGCGCUGCUGUAGAUCACCCAGCACAUGCAGAGGUAAGCUGAGAGCCGAGAAUGACCUUGAGCACUGUACCAACAGCAUUUGGCCACGACCAGUAAUAAUGUCAAUCUGUUAUCUCCCAGAACAAUCCAACAAGCUACUGGAGACAAGGUCGCAGACUGGGGACCCCAGAGCUGUUUUUAACUGCUUGCAUCUGAAAGUGCAUCUAAAUUCAGUUUGGUGAAAUUGCUGCAACAUUAGAAACCAUCACUGUAAUUAGGCUUCACAGAGCCCUUUAUCUAUAUUCCUACACUCUGUUUUGUAAAUAUAAGAUAGCAGACGUAAGAGGGUGUCAUUCCCUCUGGUGUCAAAAUUUGGGUAAAUCACUAGAAAAACAGUAUUCUUGGUGUGGUAACAAACACGAUAAAAUGUUAUUUUCCCCUUUUUAAAUCCUGACAAGCUGUAGAAAGCAGCAACUUUACAGCCUCUCUCAAAACACAUUAUAAUAUAGGACAUUACUUUAUGCUGUUCCUAAUGUUUUGGCUGUUAUUUGCUAACUACAAUGGCAUGUUAAUGUUGGCUACUUCACAGGUUACUGAGGAGUAGAAUCCCUGUUCCAAACAGUUUUCAUUUAAUAAAAGAGAGAGUAAAAGUGAAGGAAUUAGUUCC
This 1205-nucleotide long non-coding RNA is filed under the name Anas platyrhynchos platyrhynchos (common mallard). Its description in RNAcentral is "lncRNA (ENSAPLG00000017100.1)". Lineage: Eukaryota; Metazoa; Chordata; Aves; Anseriformes; Anatidae. The record is from RNAcentral.